Molecule: ribosomal RNA, 506 nt
Filed under: uncultured bacterium
Lineage: Bacteria
Description: partial 16S ribosomal RNA
Rfam family: Bacterial small subunit ribosomal RNA
Source: RNAcentral
AGUGAACGCUGGCGGUAGGCCUAACACAUGCAAGUCGAACGGCAGCACAGAGGAGCUUGCUCCUUGGGUGGCGAGUGGCGGACGGGUGAGGAAUACAUCGGAAUCUACUCUGUCGUGGGGGAUAACGUAGGGAAACUUACGCUAAUACCGCAUACGACCUACGGGUGAAAGCAGGGGAUCUUCGGACCUUGCGCGAUUGAAUGAGCCGAUGUCGGAUUAGCUAGUUGGCGGGGUAAAGGCCCACCAAGGCGACGAUCCGUAGCUGGUCUGAGAGGAUGAUCAGCCACACUGGAACUGGGACACGGUCCAGACUCCUACGGGAGGCAGCAGUGGGGAAUAUUGGACAAUGGGCGCAAGCCUGAUUCAGCCAUACCGCGUGGGUGAAGAAGGCCUUCGGGUUGUAAAGCCCUUUUGUUGGGAAAGAGAUCCAGCUGGUUAAUACCCGGUUGGGAUGACGGUACCCAAAGAAUAAGCACCGGCUAACUUCGUGCCAGCCGCCGCAGUAA